GACUCUUUAGCCCAGUAGGUAGUGUGUCAGUCUCAUAAGCUGAAAGUCCUGAGUUAGACCCUGAAAAGGCG
RNAcentral lists this transfer RNA (71 nucleotides) under Monodelphis domestica (gray short-tailed opossum). It matches the Rfam family "tRNA". Rfam says of the family: Transfer RNA (tRNA) molecules are approximately 80 nucleotides in length. Their secondary structure includes four short double-helical elements and three loops (D, anti-codon, and T loops). The record is from Rfam by way of RNAcentral. Lineage: Eukaryota; Metazoa; Chordata; Mammalia; Didelphimorphia; Didelphidae.